Molecule: non-coding RNA, 5700 nt
Organism: Dermacentor andersoni
Lineage: Eukaryota; Metazoa; Arthropoda; Arachnida; Ixodida; Ixodidae
Source: RefSeq, a predicted model, not a curated record
GAUGUGCCUUAGUGACAUAGGCGGGUAGCUUGCUCGAUGGCGGCGCAUAUCUGGUUGUGUUUGCGUGUGCUUGGUUCGUUGGUGAAGUGAUGCGGUGACACUGUGCUUGGUGAGCGUCACACUCGUGUUUGCGUUGUGCACCCAGCAUGGAGUACUCCCGGGUUAGAGUGCAUGUAUUCGAGGAUAAUGUCCGCUUCUUCAUACUACGUGGAGGUUUGUAAUUUCAUCAACUCCGCAGGCGUCUCCAGCGCCUACACGAAGUGCACCUGAACGACCCUUCUAGGACCAAGACGCAGUUUCUGCUCUGUGGAUAUUCUGCAUGUGUCAGGAUAGGUAGCGGAAAGUAAACCUGGAACAGCUUCUUCCACCAAUGGUGGUCAGUGAUGGGCGGCGCCGAGGACACAUCCAAGGCAUCCAAGAUCCAGCCACGCAAGCGCUGCUUUUUUUUUUUUUUUUUCAAAAGUGGAAGAGCAAGUAGCACUUACCAUUGCAGAACUUGCGUGAACAAAUAGCUGCUGCACUUUGUGUAUUUUAUGCCCACACGGUGUUCGUCACAUCGCACAUGCAAGACCACAUGCACAUUCAGCGAAGGGAUGCCUUUAGUGUGCACCACAUGCCCGGCCGCAUUCAAGCAGAAGGCGCACUGUCAAGUGCUACGGCUGCACCUACAAGCACCGAUGUGCAGCAGCAUCAAGUAAUGCUGGCGACGGAGCUUCAUUUCUUGUGUUCGUUCCGGUGGAUCCACCCAAGGAGGCAAAUGGGUCCAGGCCAGACGGGCAUCGUAUCUUCCAAAGUGUUGGAGAAAGCAGCUCUCGGGAACGCCCUGUGGGCACGCGGAUAGAACCUCUCCUUUGCCAUCUCUGCCCAUACAGAACGCACUAUUUAACCCACUUCAAGGACCACAUGCGGACUCACAGUGGAGAGAGGCCCUUCAAGUGCACAAAGUGUUCAGCCACAUUUACGACGAGAAGAAGCUGUCGGCGCCACAUGCAAAAUAAACAUUAGUAGAUCAGGGCAGCUAUAUGAGCUUGUUAGGUCGUCUUCUAACUUGUAGUGCAGGUGGCAUGGCCCUGUCAUAGAAGGUGGAGAGGACCACACUGUACAGCUAUUGGUUGCAGUGUGUGCUAACCGUGCAAGCGCCCCGCCAUGUUCGUGCUGUUUGAAUCGUGGUUGUCCUUGUUGCUGACUGAAAGUGCGACCGGGGAUUUUCCAGAUUAAUUGCUGCUAGAACCGAUCUUGCAAAUAAUAGAGGGCUUUAGCUUGUCCAUAAUUCAUUGCAUCACAUAUACUGAUGGAAAGGCAAGAAGUGAAGAAAUGUUGUUGAACAUUUAAAGUAGAACCUCGUUGAUAUGUUCCGUUACGUACGUUUUCCCAGUGCCAGCGUUUGUAAUCGAGAACACAAAAAAUGUCUCAAUAGAGUUGCGCUCAUUUUUUAGCUGUUCAUACAUUCCCGGAAAACAUUAUUUUUUUGGCACCAACGUUCAGUAUGUCGCCAAACUUUUCCCAGCUAAAAAAGAAAAUGCACGAGGUGUAUGCAAUCGAGAACAGUAUAUAGCUGCCCACCGCGGCAGGUUCACUGCAAUACUUGCCCGCCCGUCUCAUUGAAAACACCGCCGCGCACUCGGUUUCUCGUUUCAGUACCAGCAAAUCAUCUCCAGGGUCAUUGCACAUGGUAUUCGCAGCUAUCACCACCAAUCCUAUUGCUAUAAGCAUCUUCACCUAUCUGUUUCACAGCGUGUGGUACCAUCGGAAGCGUAGCCCAUGCUUUUAAUAGGCGAUAACCAAAACGAACUACCGUUCCCUGCUGCAGAUUGCAAUCAUAUACUAAGUUUUUCGAUCACUAGAUCCCAUGUGAACAAGAAAAGGCAUGAGGUGCGUGCAACCGAGAACAGUGUAUAGCCACCAUCUCGCGUGAAAAUGACGGUACGCCCAGUUUCUUAUUCUGGUACCAGCACAUUUCCACAUGGGUCGUCACACACUGCAUUGACAGCUAUUGCCGCCAAACCUAUUGUGAUAAGCAUGUUCACUUAUCUGUUUUACAGUGCGUGGUGCGUAGUGCCAUCGGUAGCAUGUGUUUAGUAGGUGAUAAUCCAAACUUGCCGUCAUUCCCCGCUACAGGCGGCAUAAUGUGGACAUCACAUUUCACUUCGGCAGCAUCUUUCGUUGCCGACCAGCUUGAUUUUGUUUGUUUCCCGUUGCCCUCUUAAAACACCACACAAUAGGAAAACAACAAAACGCAUGUCGGGCCGCUGGAGUGCCAAAAUAUAUGAACGAGGUUCUACUGUAUUAAACUAAUACAGUAGAACUAAUACAGCAGAAACUAACCGUGUUGAUACAGUCCCGUUUCCUACGAUUUCCUGGUGCCAAUGUUCACAAUCGAGAACACAAACAGUGAUUCGGUGGAGUAAUGCUUACUUUUUUUUUUGGUUCAUACUUUCCUGGAAAACAUGAUUUUUCGGCACUAACAGUCCAUACAAUGCCAAACUGCAAUCAUAUAUGUUGUCCACCCACUAGAUCCCAUGUGGAAAGGCUCAAUCGCACGCCAUGUGCAAUCGAGAGCACUAUAUAACUGCCUGCUGCAUCACUUUGCCCGCAAUAUGUGCCUGCCUGUCUCUCGUGAAAAUCUCUGCGUGCACUCGGAUUCCUAUUCCUUUUCCAACAAAUCUCCCUGGUCAUCACACGCCACAUUUAUCACCAUCGCGCCAAACCUAUUGUGAUAAGUAUUUUCACCUACCUAUAUCACAGCGCGUUGGGCAUAGUGCCGUUAACAGCGUACUGCACGCCUUUAGCAGGCGAUAAUCCAAAUGCACUGCCGUUUCCUACUGCAGGCGACACAAUGGGAGCAUCGCAUUUCGCUUCGGCAGCAUCUCGGUUCGCUCACCAGCUCUAUUUUAUUUUCGUUUCCAGCUGCACAGUAGGAGAACAACAAAAUGUGUCUUGGGCCGCCAAAGCCCCAUCUGUACGACGCGUGUCAGCAUCUCGUGCCUCGUGCACAAUGAUUUGCGCAACGCUUUGCAUUGCGUGGAUUUCAACUACAUGCGAGUCUGUCAAAUUGUUUGUUACUUUGGAUGGUACGUUUUCUCGGUUAGCAUGCUUUUUUCUCGUGUUUUUUCCCAAAAUGUAUGAACGAGGUUCUACUGUAUAUAAGACUGGUGAGAUAAAUGACAAAUUUCCCUAAAUGAAAGCAAAACAGUAUGCAUGACAGUAGCCCAUGGAUGCCAGCUGUGAAACUUUGUGUACACCUUAAAAGGGAAGCAACUGCCACAAGUAACAGACAAGUGUUUCGGGGACCACUAUACAUCAGAUUUAGCCUCGGCAACUAACUGAAUAAAUAGUUCGCAAAACUAACAAACAACUAGGCUACACUAUAUGAAUGCUUCAGCACAUUACACCAGACGCAAGGCCAUCAUCUUGCAAAAAUAUUAAGAUUGAUCAUUGAAUUGGGAACCACACUUUAAGACACAUAUCAUCAAACUGGAACAGGUUGAACAGUGUGCUCUGUGUUUUAUUUACUGUUGUUACUGUAGAAAGUACUCGGUGUUUUCACUUCAUCAGAAAGCAAACUUACCACCCUCUCAAAUCGCAAAAGAAGCAAGAAGGGCUUAUUCUCUUUCAUGGUAUAAUAGACAACAAUGUAUUAAUUUAUAGCAGCCAAUACACAAAGAAGUCGCAGAUUAGAUGAAACAAACUUGAACAAAAAGAAUGGUGUUCGAAAGGCUGCUGUUGCUGUUAGUUUGUCUUAAAAGCAUGAGGCUGGAGGGCUUCCACCAAACAUUGCGAAUGUGGAAAACUCUGAGGAGUUCUCUUGCAUUGUUCUCUAUAGUUAACUAGCACCUCAGCUUCUCUACUAGUGCCUUAUCGUGCUGUACUUGAUUUCUGUUACACAAAGUGGGAGUUCAGUGUCAUUGAUGAGUUGCAUGUUGCCUAUGUUACCUCAUUAUAUGCCAUUUGUGUUACACCAGCAGUGUUUAUUGUAAUUUUUUUUAUCUGUGUAGUACAACUCCUAUCCAGGUCAUAAACAGAACUGAUAGUGUCUGUAAAUAAAUAAGUAUUGCCUUAUUCGGAAUACCGGAAGAGUGCAUGGCAGCAACAAUGCUGGUAGCGACACCUGGGGAGGCAGCCUAACCAUGGAGCACACAAAGCUAAUAUUAUAGGGACAUGUUAUAUUCAACAGAGCAAUAAGUAAGGCUAGUUUAUUUCAUUUUGAUUUCAGUUAAGAAGCAAGUUUUGUGAAAAGCACAACGUGUAGAGACAACACGGGAACACAAGUUUCCGUUUUGUCUCUUAGUGUAGCGAUUUUAAGUCGGCACAUUUCGUAUAAGAAAUGUUAUAUUCCACUUACUACUGUUAUAAAGGUUCGGUAGCAAAAUACCUCUAUUAUUUUACUUUGACGAUGCCCCUAAUGUGGCACAAAAGUCUUCCUAAUGAAGUGUAGUUAGACAAAUCAUCGCAAGGUGUUACUACCGGCAUUGCUGCUGCCGUACACAGCUAUGUGAACCCAGUAACAUGUAAACUGUAAGAAGUUCUUACGGACAAGCCAAAACUCUCUAUUUUCCACUUCAAUCCACUGCGGAGCAGGGGCUCUGAAAGUGGCCGCACUGCAGGCAGCAGUGAAGCGAGAUACAAGAAUUUGCAAAUUGGCUGCAUUCAGUGGUGAGCUUGCUCAGAUGUUGUAGAGGUUCUGGAAACCACAUUUCUCGAUGAGCUGAAAAUUUUCAAAAGCAAUCGAACCUCGUUUUAGAGUAACAGUGCAUGGAAUUACAUGAACCGAAGAAAAAAAAAGGAAACUGACAGUGCUUUGUUCAUUUCCUUUUGUUUGUCCAGUCCACUGUUCUGUUACUCUAUUUAACUUUAACAUGCACCAAAAGGCCUAACUUGGCAUUUUUUUGCAGAACCUUAUCUUGUGCUCCAAUUUAUCAGUAAUGCGCACAAAAGAGAUUUAAAUUCGAGAUAUGCAAUAAAAAAAAUAAUUGAAAAUAUACACACCAAAAAUAUAGAAAUUAUUGUAACUAAACUUAUCACUGGCAAAAUAUUUCUAUAGAAUAUAGCGAGAGCAUUCACUGAAAGCAAUGCCCUAUGUUUGUGCUUCAGUUAAAAACAGUUUAAUGAACUUAAAACAUGCGCAAAGAUAUUCUUGAAUGAACUUGAUGAAUUAACAUUUGUUUACUUCAACUGCUACAACUUAUGGGAAUUCACUUACAUUUCUGUUAGAAAAUGUAUCUGCUGGAUGUAUUACACGCAGUAGUGGAAUGUAAACAAUUUUUGUAUGUUUGAGCAAACAAACCGUACAUAUAAUUUGGUUUUAUUAUAUUAUCAUAUUUAUUAUAUGGUGUUUUUGAGAAGGUGGUGCCAUAGUUAGGUCUCGCAGCUUAUCAAAACACCCUCAACGGAAUGCAAACACAUUUUUGAAUGAGGAGAUGUCUCUGAUAAUUACCGGAUUGUCUAGUUCCCCAUAGAAGAAUACAGUAAGAUAAUUUAACGGAAUACAAUAAGAUGAUUCAUUUGAAUGACUCUUGUAGCAAGAAAGAUGUCUUCAGAUAUUCUUUUCUUUCCGAUUAUGCCUUAAAGGAAUGUAGGCAUGACAUUAACUUUGUAUAUUCUCUCCAAUUCUUUUUGUUAUUUUUUGGCCCCCCUGCUCUUCUUUGUCAUGCCAUGUUUGUUGCCAACAGUAUGCAUAGAAUAAAUUAUGUUGAAUUUGUA